GCCUUCGUGGUGUAAUGGUCAGCACACUGAGCCGGUAUUUCAGAGGUCCGAGGUUCGAUUCCCGGCGAAGGAA
This 73-nucleotide transfer RNA is filed under the name Stegodyphus mimosarum. It matches the Rfam family "tRNA". From Rfam's summary of the family: Transfer RNA (tRNA) molecules are approximately 80 nucleotides in length. Their secondary structure includes four short double-helical elements and three loops (D, anti-codon, and T loops). Lineage: Eukaryota; Metazoa; Arthropoda; Arachnida; Araneae; Eresidae. The record is from Rfam by way of RNAcentral.